Molecule: ribosomal RNA, 257 nt
Filed under: uncultured bacterium
Lineage: Bacteria
Description: partial 16S ribosomal RNA
Rfam family: Bacterial small subunit ribosomal RNA
Source: RNAcentral
CGGACGGGUGAGGUAACACGUGAGCAACCUGCCUUUCAGUCGGGGGACAACAGUUGGAAACGACUGCUAAUACCGCAUAACGUGCCGGAAGGGCAUCCUUUUGGUACCAAAGAUUUAUCGCUGAAAGAUGGGCUCGCGUCUGAUUAGAUAGUUGGUGAGGUAACGGCCCACCAAGUCGACGAUCAGUAGCCGGACUGAGAGGUUGAUCGGCCACAUUGGGACUGAGACACGGCCCAGACUCCUACGGGAGGCAGCAG